This is a long non-coding RNA of Numida meleagris (helmeted guineafowl), 549 nucleotides long. RefSeq lists it as uncharacterized. The transcript has 5 exons. Lineage: Eukaryota; Metazoa; Chordata; Aves; Galliformes; Numididae. The record is from RefSeq and is a predicted model, not a curated record.
CUUAUCACUCCCUACAACUCCCAGAAAGGAGGAGGUGGUGAGGUGGGGGUUGGCCUCUUCUCCCAGUGUGUCAGUGCAGUAACAAGCUAGUCUUGCUGAAUGAUGAUGAGCAGAUAUAUCUUCAUCACAAACAUAGUGUCAUCAUGACCUGGAGUACUGACUACAAAGCCACAUUCCAUUACGCUGGAGCUGCAGAAAGAAUACAAAGAAAUGGAUGGCUGAUGGGCUCAAAGCAACUGACAGCAGCUGCUCAACUUCACCCUGGGCAAAACCAGAAAGGGGUUGUUGAGGAUGGUGAGAGGAGGAAGAAGGAAGAAAGAGAAGGCACAAAGCAUGAGUAGUGUCAUGCACUUGCAGCAAUCUCUGCAAUCCUGAAUCAGCCCUGUAUGCAUCCCUUGAAGAUACAGAUAUGGACACUGCAUGCAGUCCAACACACAGAAAGGAAGAGGAAAUGUAUGUCACAAAGCAACAUUUCAUGCAGAACAGCAGGGAAAGACUGGAUGGUAACCCAAUUAAAGGCAGAUCAGAAAUCUUUCAAAGCCAUUUAUA